RNAcentral lists this ribosomal RNA (916 nucleotides) under Ganoderma resinaceum. RNAcentral describes it as "partial large subunit ribosomal RNA". It matches the Rfam family "Eukaryotic large subunit ribosomal RNA", at positions 38 to 941 of the family's 3401-position model. The record is from RNAcentral. Lineage: Eukaryota; Fungi; Basidiomycota; Agaricomycetes; Polyporales; Polyporaceae.
GCAUAUCAAUAAGCGGAGGAAAAGAAACUAACAAGGAUUCCCCUAGUAACUGCGAGUGAAGCGGGAAAAGCUCAAAUUUAAAAUCUGGCGGUCUUUGGCCGUCCGAGUUGUAGUCUGGAGAAGUGCUUUCCGCGCUGGACCGUGUAUAAGUCUCUUGGAACAGAGCGUCAUAGAGGGUGAGAAUCCCGUCUUUGACACGGACUACCAGUGCUUUGUGAUGCGCUCUCAAAGAGUCGAGUUGUUUGGGAAUGCAGCUCAAAAUGGGUGGUGAAUUCCAUCUAAAGCUAAAUAUUGGCGAGAGACCGAUAGCGAACAAGUACCGUGAGGGAAAGAUGAAAAGCACUUUGGAAAGAGAGUUAAACAGUACGUGAAAUUGCUGAAAGGGAAACGCUUGAAGUCAGUCGCGUUGUCCGGAACUCAGCCUUGCUUUCGCUUGGUGCACUUUCCGGAUGACGGGUCAGCAUCGAUUUUGACCGUCGGAAAAGGGCUGGAGUAAUGUGGCACCUCCGGGUGUGUUAUAGACUCUGGUCGCAUACGACGGUUGGGAUCGAGGAACGCAGCGCGCCGCAAGGCAGGGGUUCGCCCACUUUCGCGCUUAGGAUGCUGGCAUAAUGGCUUUAAACGACCCGUCUUGAAACACGGACCAAGGAGUCUAACAUACCUGCGAGUGUUUGGGUGGAAAACCCGAGCGCGUAAUGAAAGUGAAAGUUGAGAUCCCUGUCGUGGGGAGCAUCGACGCCCGGACCUGACGUUCUCUGACGGAUCCGCGGUAGAGCAUGUAUGUUGGGACCCGAAAGAUGGUGAACUAUGCCUGAAUAGGGUGAAGCCAGAGGAAACUCUGGUGGAGGCUCGUAGCGAUUCUGACGUGCAAAUCGAUCGUCAAAUUUGGGUAUAGGGGCGAAAGACUAAUCGAACC